RNAcentral lists this ribosomal RNA (301 nucleotides) under uncultured bacterium. RNAcentral describes it as "partial 16S ribosomal RNA". It matches the Rfam family "Bacterial small subunit ribosomal RNA", at positions 509 to 808 of the family's 1533-position model. The record is from RNAcentral.
CAGCCGCCGCGGGAAUACGUAGGUCCCGAGCGUUGUCCGGAUUUAUUGGGCGUAAAGGGAGCGCAGGCGGUUUAGUAAGUCUGGAGUUAAAGGCAUUGGCUCAACCAAUGUAUGCUUUGGAAACUGUUUGACUUGAGUGCAGAAGGGGAGAGUGGAAUUCCAUGUGUAGCGGAGAAAUGCGUAGAUAUAUGGAGGAACACCGGUGGCGAAAGCGGCUCUCUGGUCUGUCACUGACGCUGAGGCUCGAAAGCGUGGGUAGCGAACAGGAUUAGAGACCCCCGUAGUCCCUGUCUCUUAUACA